UCCAGAUUUCCUUGACUUUCUAGCUCUUUGGAGUCAAGCAUGAAGCUCCUUUAUAAGGAGUGGAGAGAGAGGUAGCCACCAAGCUCAAAUCACAAAAAAUAGUUAGAGAAGCUAUGGAUCAGAGUUCUAAUGCCCCUAUGCAUCUCUGCCAUGUCAACAAGCUCACAAUCUUAAUUAAUCGAACGUAUACAGUUAUAUAUUCCGUCGCUUUAUCAUUCUUGCUUUACUAUAGAGCCUCUUUCUUCUUCCAUGACACCAAAACACCCAUCUUACCAUCUCUUAUUGUCUUUGCGGCCGAGCUCGUCUCUUCUUUCGAGUGGCUUCUAAUCCAGGCAUAUCGGUGGAGGCCAGUCUCUCGAACUGUGUUCCCGGAGAGAUUGCCGGAAGAUGACAAACUUCCUGCAGUCGACGUGUUCAUUUGCACCGCUGAUCCUGAUCUGGAGCCAACCGUGGCGGUGAUGAACACUGUAAUAUCAGCCAUGACACUCGACUAUCCACCCGAGAAGCUUCACGUGUAUUUGUCAGAUGAUGGCGGUGCUGAUGUGACUCUAAAUGGUAUGAGAGAGGCUUGGACGUUUGCAAAGCGGUGGAUUCCAUUUUGUAAGAGGUAUAACAUCAAGUGCAGAUCUCCAAAAGCCUAUUUCUCAGCAGCAGAGGAUGAGAAUGAAGAUGGUGCUUUGGGGGUUACUGAUUUCAUACAAGAGAGGCAAAUUAUUCAGGAAAAAUAUGAGGUGUUUAAGGAAAGAGUGAGAGAAUACGCAAGGCAUGGUGACACUGGGAGCAGUAAGCGUCGAGAUCAUUCUGCAGUGAUUGAGGUGAUACAAGAAAGUUCUAGUAAUCAUGCAUUUGAAGAGAAUGAGGCAAAAAACAUGCCUCUCCUUGUUUAUGUCUCUCGCGAAAAAAGACCUUCUCAUGCCCAUCAUUUCAAGGCUGGAGCUCUCAAUGUUCUUCUUCGGGUAUCCGGUGUGAUCAGUAAUUCUCCCUUCAUAUUAGGGCUUGAUUGUGACAUGUAUUGCAAUGAUCCAAGUUCAGCUCGGCAAGCAAUGUGUUUCCACCUUGAUCCCAAGCUCUCACCUACACUAGCACUUGUGCAAUUUCCUCAUAAAUUCCACAACAUCAGUAAGAAUGACAUCUACGACAGUCAGAUGAGAGAGGUGUUUUCGGUGCUAUAUCAAGGUUUUGAUGGACUUCAAGGGCCAUGCUUAUCCGGUACUGGCUAUUACAUCAAGAGGUUAUCCUUGUAUGGAAAAUCCCUAAAGGAAGAUCAUAAGGAUCUUUUGGAACUUAGACAAUAUGUUGGUCCUUCGAAUGAGUUCGUAAAAUCCCUGCUUGGAAACUACAAUCCUAAUAUGGAAAUGGCACAGCUAGCUGAGACCCAACAGCUAGCCUCUUGUACCUAUGAAGAUGGCACCAAAUGGGGUGAAGAGGCUGGUUUCUUAUACGCGUCUGUAGUGGAAGAUUAUUUCACCGGGUUCGCUAGCUUGCAUUGCAAGGGUUGGAAUUCAGUGUAUUGCAAUCCACCGAGGCCUCAGUUCUUGGGCAGUGGCACCACUAAUUUGAAUGACUUUUUGGUCCAAGGGACAAGAUGGAGUUCUGGGUUGGUUGAUGUUGCCAUCUCCAAAUACUGCCCUCUUAUAUAUGGCCUUUCUAAAAUGUCUUUCCCUGAAAGUAUGUGCUAUGCAUGGAUAGCAAUUUCCCCUAUUUGCCGGUUCUUCUCAGCCUGGUGCCUUGCAACUAUACCUCAGCUUUGCCUAGUCAACGGCAUUUCCCUGUACCCUGAGGUCUCAAAUUCCUUUUUUUGGAUAUUUUCUUUUGUAUUCCUCUUGUCUGUUUUGAGACAAUUAUACGAGGUCCUCACAACGGAAGCGUCAUUACAACAUUGGAUAAACGAGCAAAGAAUAUGGAUGAUGAAAGCAGUUACAUCUCACUUAUAUGGUAGUCUUGAUGCUUUUAUGAAGAAAUUUGGUUUGAGGGAAGCAAGUUUCUUCCUAACAAAUAAAGUUGAUGAUGUUGAGCAACUCAAGCGUUACAACGCGGGGGUAUUUGAUUUCCAAACCUCACCACAUUUUCUUGUUCCAUUGGCUUCACUGGUUAUCUUGAACAUGGCCUCCCUUUGUGUGGGCAUUGCCAGAGUAAUAUUUCUGGGGGAAUUAGAGAAGUUGUUUAUACAAGUCUUCAUACCAUUUUAUGCGGUGGUCGUCAAUUACCCUAUAAUAGAAGGAAUGCUAGUAAGGAAAGAUAGUGGUCGCAUUCCACAAUCAGUCACCCUAUUGUCUGCUACAGCUUCAAUCAUUUUCUGCGUUUUGGGUUCAGUUAUUGUCAUGUAGCAAGGAGGCUGCAAAGGAGCCUUUUUAUCAGAAUGGUGGCGGAAGAUGAAGUCAUUGGAAGUGAAUAGGUCGUCAUCUCCCUGCAGGUACUUUUGUGGGAGCUGAUCCUCACGUAAAACAGGGUUCUUAGUAAUGGCAUUUCUUCCACCUUGAGGUAAAGGAAGUGAAAACUGCAAACAGCCAAGCAUCAAGAUGCAUACAUCGUCAAGAGGAGCAAAGCUUCGUGUGAAAUACAAAAGUAAAGCAUCAAAGUGUACAUGCACACGUCAUCCGAUGGAGACAUAUGAGAGAUGGAUUAAGGGAUGAUGGAUGGAAUACCUUAUGUUUCCUAAUUCAUAAAUUAGGAUAAGUUAUUCUCACAUCCUAUUCAGUAACAACUAUGUGAAUAAAUUGCAUGCUUAUUGUCCCAGUA
Molecule: RNA transcript, 2739 nt
Organism: Rosa chinensis
Lineage: Eukaryota; Viridiplantae; Streptophyta; Magnoliopsida; Rosales; Rosaceae
Gene name: cellulose synthase-like protein G2
Exons: 10
Source: RefSeq, a predicted model, not a curated record